Chenopodium quinoa (quinoa) is the source of this 644-nucleotide long non-coding RNA. RefSeq lists it as uncharacterized. NCBI's taxonomy places the organism in Eukaryota, Viridiplantae, Streptophyta, Magnoliopsida, Caryophyllales, Amaranthaceae. The transcript is spliced from 3 exons. The record is from RefSeq and is a predicted model, not a curated record.
AUUAAUACGAGGAAUUGAGGAUUGACUAUUUUGGGUAUGAAAAUUGAGGAUUGACAUAAAUUGGGUAAAAUUGGAUGAAUUGACAGAUGAGGAAUGAAAAAAAUCUUUUGAACACCCAACAUCACUAGUUCACUGCUAGUCUUAAACUCUUACCAGACUACCAGAGAUCCAUUGAUUCCCCAUCUACAAGUGUGAUCUUGAAGCUGAUGAUGAAGUAGAUGAACUCUGCAACAAAAAAAAUAGUCAUUAAUGAAAGGGAAGGCAGCUUGAAAUUCCUUUGCUAUUGCAAGUGCAUUUCCAUAUCCUGUUAAAUCCUGAAGCCUGAAAAUAACACAAGUGUUCAAUUACCAUAGCUUAAGCCAAAAUGGAUUCACUGAAGACUAAAGUUAACAAGUUUUGGUGCCAAAUACGGUAACAAGGUGGAAAAGAUUACUGGAAAGGGCCCAUAGGCAGUCCAAAGUCGGUAACAACUCUGUCGAUCCUGAAAAUGUCAACUCCCAAGUUUGCCAAAAGAUCAGCACUCUGAAAGUACGGGAAGAAAGUUCUGUUCACCGCAUAUCCAGUACAGGUACCAACGACUAUAGGCACUUUUCUUAUUGCUCUUGCAAAUGCGAUGAGAUCAUGAAUAACUUGUGCUGAUGUCU